AGCUAAAAUACUGCUUCAAGCUGCCUUUAACUUCGUAGAAGCUCUGUUCUGCUGAGGGCUGGGCAGAGCAGAAGGGAAGAGUAGUAACUAGGGCUUACUGAAAACUAGUGGGGCUUUCUGCUGGGGCAUGCAUUACUGAGCAGUCACUUUGCUACCUUUUGAAAGGAUAGGGAUGCUUCUAGACUCUUCAUGCUGGUGCAGGUACGUGUGCAGGCACAGAAACCUCAUACCGGAGAGAAUGCUGCAGUGUUUCAAUAGUUACAGGUUUUUGGCCAAAAGAGUGAAAGAGCACAUGAAGUGAAGAGUGACAUAUGCAAUGCCCCUGUCCACCUCUGCUAUCCUGGACGUGCCAAGUCUUCCUGCUCUUUUUCUAGUCCACAGCAGAUGAGUGAUAUAGCAAGUUGACUGGUUGCUCUAUUCUCUCUCCUGUACCUGUAAGAUGACGAGCUCGUGCUACCACUGGAAGAGUGGCACUGGGCUCUGGUGACAAAGUAAGCAGGUACCAGUGACUGGCAAGUGCAUACUGCAGCCAAGGGAGAUUCCAGGGUGUCAGAAAUGUCUCACCUUGGUUCUGUGUCUGGAUGUUUAAACACUGAGUCAGCAUCCCAAUGCACUGUGUUAUUCUGGAAGAAAGUUACUCCAUUUACUCCUCAGGUUCCUGAUUCCUGGGGUCAGAGACUGGCCUAUAAUUGCAGCUGUCAGCUCACGGUUAAAUAGAGAGAUGUAAAAUACCUCCUUGCACAUCAUUUAUUAACAUUUAAAACCCAUCAGGGGACAUAUAAAACAUUCCUUUUUUUGUAACAUUUAUAAACUACUGAGGAGCGCAGAAAUAUUCCCCCUUAUUAAUUACGGUAAUUUAGGCGAUGUCCGUGGAGGGCUGGUGAGCACAGCAGCUAUGAUUCUCCUCCACAAUCCUUUUAUUUCUAGGCACUGAGAUUCCCCAGAGCCCCUUCCAGCUGCAAAUUCUCCUGGCAUGAAGAAGGGUAAUGCUGGAGAGCGAAUGUAUUUUCAGACCAUGUAUACAUGAGGGAGUUCCACAAAGAUUACUGAGGAUAUGAUUUAUGGUUUUUGCUGUCUGUGGGGGAAUGAGGGACCAAGUGUCUUCCAUAAAAUGUGCGCUACCACAGCUUGUGACUGGCUUCCAUUCAGGUCAAAGUGCUAACCACCAUGCAGGACUGCUUCCUGUGCCUGAAGUAGCUGAAGGGCCUUCUCAAGGAGUUCCCUGUGUUGUUCUCCAGCAGCAGCCAGUGCAUCAAAUCAGGGGCAGCAUCUUUGCACCCCUCUUUUGUUGCAGAAGAGGGCCAGCUCUGCCUCCAUACCCUUUUCUCCCUGAGCAGGUAAGUGAUUGUCACUGUUACAUUUGCCAGCCCCCCUGGGAGACAGACGAGUGAAGCUGUGCUCCUGAGACCUGAACAUAUAAUUUGCAACACGCAAUUUAUGUCGCAUCAUACCUAGCUGGAGUUCUAGUGCCUGGAGUACCCGAAAUACAUCUACAAAUAGAUCAUGUCAUGUCAAAAGUGAAAUGGAAGGUGAUAGUAAUUGUGGCCUAUCUAAUUAGAAAGCAAGAAUCAGAGUGUCUAACGAAUGGCAACACCUGGAAUACCUGCACAAAAAGCUAAUCAAAAGUCAACUUGAAAUCCAGGGAAAGCCUAUAUAUGGCUGUUUCUGCCCCUUAAAAAAACUGCUCAGAACAUUGCAAAUUACACUCCGAUCACACUUCUGCUGGUGUGAGCCAUAUGGAAAUAAAGCUUAAAACAAUAAUCUGACUUUUCAAGAAGGUUACAUCCA
Corvus hawaiiensis (hawaiian crow) is the source of this 1788-nucleotide long non-coding RNA. RefSeq lists it as uncharacterized. Lineage: Eukaryota; Metazoa; Chordata; Aves; Passeriformes; Corvidae. The record is from RefSeq and is a predicted model, not a curated record. The transcript has 3 exons.